GACGAACGCUGGCGGCGUGCCUAAUACAUGCAAGUAGAACGCUGAAGGAGGAGCUUGCUCUUCUGGAUGAGUUGCGAACGGGUGAGUAACGCGUAGGUAACCUGCCUGGUAGCGGGGGAUAACUAUUGGAAACGAUAGCUAAUACCGCAUAACAGUAGAUGUUGCAUGACAUUUACUUAAAAGGUGCAAUUGCAUCACUACCAGAUGGACCUGCGUUGUAUUAGCUAGUUGGUGGGGUAACGGCUCACCAAGGCGACGAUACAUAGCCGACCUGAGAGGGCGAUCGGCCACACUGGGACUGAGACACGGCCCAGACUCCUACGGGAGGCAGCAGUAGGGAAUCUUCGGCAAUAGACGGAAGUCUGACCGAGCAACGCCGCGUGAGUGAAGAAGGUUUUCGGAUCGUAAAGCUCUGUUGUAAGAGAAGAACGAGUGUGAGAGUGGAAAGUUCACACUGUGACGGUAUCUUACCAGAAAGGGACGGCUAACUACGUG
RNAcentral lists this ribosomal RNA (495 nucleotides) under uncultured bacterium. RNAcentral describes it as "partial 16S ribosomal RNA". It matches the Rfam family "Bacterial small subunit ribosomal RNA", at positions 28 to 507 of the family's 1533-position model. The record is from RNAcentral.